CCUCGGGUUGCUGCAGUGAGGAAUAUUGCACAAUGGGGGGAACCCUGAUGCAGCAACGCCGCGUGGAGGAUGACGCAUUUCGGUGUGUAAACUCCUUUUAUAUGUCAAGAAAAUGACGGUAGCAUAUGAAUAAGCACCGGCUAACUCCGUGCCAGCAGCCGCGGUAAUACGGAGGGUGCAAGCGUUACUCGGAAUCACUGGGCGUAAAGGACACGUAGGCGGGUUGGAAAGUCAGGUGUGAAAUCCUACAGCUUAACUGUAGAACUGCACUUGAAACUUCUAAUCUAGAGUAUGGGAGGGGGAGAUGGAAUUAGUGGUGUAGGGGUAAAAUCCGUAGAUAUCACUAGGAAUACCUAAAGCGAAGGCGAUCUCCUGGAACAUUACUGACGCUAAGGCGUGAAAGCGUGGGGAGCAAACAGGAUUAGAUACCCUAGUAGUC
Molecule: ribosomal RNA, 439 nt
Filed under: uncultured bacterium
Lineage: Bacteria
Description: partial 16S ribosomal RNA
Rfam family: Bacterial small subunit ribosomal RNA
Source: RNAcentral